AGCGAACGCUGGCGGCAGGCCUAACACAUGCAAGUCGAACGAACCUUUCGGGGUUAGUGGCGGACGGGUGAGUAACACGUGGGAACGUGCCUUUAGGUUCGGAAUAACUCAGGGAAACUUGUGCUAAUACCGAAUGUGCCCUUCGGGGGAAAGAUUAUCGCCUUUAGAGGGCCCGCGUCUGAUUAGCGAGUUGGUUGAGGUAAUGGGUACACAAGGCGACGAUCAGUAGCUGGUCUGGGAGGAUGGUCAGCCACAUUGGGACUGUGACACGGCCCAAACUCCUACGGGAGGCAGCAGUGGGGAAUCUUGCGCAAUGGGCGAAAGCCUGACGCAGCCAUGCCGCGUGAAUGAUGAAGGUCUUAGGAUUGUAAAAUUCUUUCACCGGGGACGAUAAUGACGGUACCCGGAGAAGAAGCCCCGGCUAACUUCGUGCCAGCCGCCGCUGUAA
RNAcentral lists this ribosomal RNA (448 nucleotides) under uncultured bacterium. RNAcentral describes it as "partial 16S ribosomal RNA". It matches the Rfam family "Bacterial small subunit ribosomal RNA", at positions 29 to 523 of the family's 1533-position model. The record is from RNAcentral.